GACGAACGCUGGCGGCGUGCUUAACACAUGCAAGUCGAACGGAAAGGCCCUGCUUUUGUGGGGUGCUCGAGUGGCGAACGGGUGAGUAACACGUGAGUAACCUGCCCUUGACUUUGGGAUAACUUCAGGAAACUGGGGCUAAUACCGGAUAGGAGCUCCUGCUGCAUGGUGGGGGUUGGAAAGUUUCGGCGGUUGGGGAUGGACUCGCGGCUUAUCGGCUUGUUGGUGGGGUAGUGGCUUACCAAGGCUUUGACGGGUAGCCGGCCUGAGAGGGUGACCGGCCACAUUAGGACUGAGAUACGGCGCAGACUCCUACGGGAGGCAGCAGUGGGGAAUAUUGCACAAUGGGCGGAAGCCUGAUGCAGCAACGCCGCGUGCGGGAUGACGGCCUUCGGGUUGUAAACCGCUUUCGCAUGUGACGAAGCGUGAGUGACGGUAAUGGGUAAAGAAGCACCGGCUAACUACGUG
RNAcentral lists this ribosomal RNA (468 nucleotides) under uncultured bacterium. RNAcentral describes it as "partial 16S ribosomal RNA". It matches the Rfam family "Bacterial small subunit ribosomal RNA", at positions 28 to 507 of the family's 1533-position model. The record is from RNAcentral.